AAAUCCAAGAAUUUCACCUCUGACAGUCAAAUGCGAAUGCCCCCAACUAUCCCUAUUUAUCAUCAUCACAGCUCUAGAAGCCAACAAAAUAGUGCCACGAUCCUAUCUUAUUAUUCCAUGCUAAAGUAUUCAAGGCAGAAGCCUGCUUGAAGCACUCUAAUUUCCUCAAAGUAAAUGCCCAGGCAACCACACCACACAGUCAAGUGCAGCUGUGCUCGCCAAGAAGAUGCCCAGGGCAAGCCAGGUACUCGCCCAGAGGGCAGACCAGUUGUCCUUGGCAGAGGUCCAACUACGAGCGUUUCAACCGCAACAACUUUAAUAUACGCUAUUGGAGCUGGAAUUACCGC
Molecule: unclassified non-coding RNA, 347 nt
Filed under: uncultured fungus
Lineage: Eukaryota; Fungi
Description: sequence contains ITS1
Source: RNAcentral